AGGUUAACCGAAUAGGGGAGCCGAAGGGAAACCGAGUCUUAACUGGGCGUUAAGUUGCAGGGUAUAGACCCGAAACCCGGUGAUCUAGCCAUGGGCAGGUUGAAGGUUGGGUAACACUAACUGGAGGACCGAACCGACUAAUGUUGAAAAAUUAGCGGAUGACUUGUGGCUGGGGGUGAAAGGCCAAUCAAACCGGGAGAUAGCUGGUUCUCCCCGAAAGCUAUUUAGGUAGCGCCUCGUGAAUUCAUCUCCGGGGGUAGAGCACUGUUUCGGCAAGGGGGUCAUCCCGACUUACCAACCCGAUGCAAACUGCGAAUACCGGAGAAUGUUAUCACGGGAGACACACGGCGGGUGCUAACGUCCGUCGUGAAGAGGGAAACAACCCAGACCGCCAGCUAAGGUCCCAAAGUCAUGGUUAAGUGGGAAACGAUGUGGGAAGGCCCAGACAGCCAGGAUGUUGGCUUAGAAGCAGCCAUCAUUUAAAGAAAGCGUAAUAGCUCACUGGUCGAGUCGGCCUGCGCGGAAGAUGUAACGGGGCUAAACCAUGCACCGAAGCUGCGGCAGCGACGCUGAUGCGUUGUUGGGUAGGGGAGCGUUCUGUAAGCCUGCGAAGGUGUGCUGUGAGGCAUGCUGGAGGUAUCAGAAGUGCGAAUGCUGACAUAAGUAACGAUAAAGCGGGUGAAAAGCCCGCUCGCCGGAAGACCAAGGGUUCCUGUCCAACGUUAAUCGGGGCAGGGUGAGUCGACCCCUAAGGCGAGGCCGAAAGGCGUAGUCGAUGGGAAACAGGUUAAUAUUCCUGUACUUGGUGUUACUGCGAAGGGGGGACGGAGAAGGCUAUGUUGGCCGGGCGACGGUUGUCCCGGUUUAAGCGUGUAGGCUGGUUUUCCAGGCAAAUCCGGAAAAUCAAGGCUGAGGCGUGAUGACGAGGCACUACGGUGCUGAAGCAACAAAUGCCCUGCUUCCAGGAAAAGCCUCUAAGCAUCAGGUAACAUCAAAUCGUACCCCAAACCGACACAGGUGGUCAGGUAGAGAAUACCAAGGCGCUUGAGAGAACUCGGGUGAAGGAACUAGGCAAAAUGGUGCCGUAACUUCGGGAGAAGGCACGCUGAUAUGUAGGUGAAGUCCCUCGCGGAUGGAGCUGAAAUCAGUCGAAGAUACCAGCUGGCUGCAACUGUUUAUUAAAAACACAGCACUGUGCAAACACGAAAGUGGACGUAUACGGUGUGACGCCUGCCCGGUGC
Molecule: ribosomal RNA, 1241 nt
Filed under: Escherichia coli
Lineage: Bacteria; Pseudomonadati; Pseudomonadota; Gammaproteobacteria; Enterobacterales; Enterobacteriaceae
Description: partial 23S ribosomal RNA
Rfam family: Bacterial large subunit ribosomal RNA
Source: RNAcentral